This 548-nucleotide ribosomal RNA is filed under the name Paraburkholderia sp. RNAcentral describes it as "bacterial SSU rRNA". It matches the Rfam family "Bacterial small subunit ribosomal RNA", at positions 211 to 751 of the family's 1533-position model. The record is from RNAcentral. Lineage: Bacteria; Pseudomonadati; Pseudomonadota; Betaproteobacteria; Burkholderiales; Burkholderiaceae.
CCUCAUGCUAUAGGAGCGGCCGAUGUCUGAUUAGCUAGUUGGUGGGGUAAAGGCCCACCAAGGCGACGAUCAGUAGCUGGUCUGAGAGGACGAUCAGCCACACUGGGACUGAGACACGGCCCAGACUCCUACGGGAGGCAGCAGUGGGGAAUUUUGGACAAUGGGCGAAAGCCUGAUCCAGCAAUGCCGCGUGUGUGAAGAAGGCCUUCGGGUUGUAAAGCACUUUUGUCCGGAAAGAAAUGGUUAUGGUUAAUACCCGGGGUGGAUGACGGUACCGGAAGAAUAAGCACCGGCUAACUACGUGCCAGCAGCCGCGGUAAUACGUAGGGUGCAAGCGUUAAUCGGAAUUACUGGGCGUAAAGCGUGCGCAGGCGGUUAUGCAAGACCGAUGUGAAAUCCCCGAGCUUAACCUGGGAAUUGCAUUGGUGACUGCAUGGCUAGAGUGUGUCAGAGGGGGGUAGAAUUCCACGUGUAGCAGUGAAAUGCGUAGAGAUGUGGAGGAAUACCGAUGGCGAAGGCAGCCCCCUGGGACAACACUGACGCUCAUG